RNAcentral lists this small RNA (28 nucleotides) under Bombyx mori (domestic silkworm). Its description in RNAcentral is "piRNA piR-bmo-1840241". The record is from RNAcentral. Lineage: Eukaryota; Metazoa; Arthropoda; Insecta; Lepidoptera; Bombycidae.
UAGCCGAGAAUGUAGGAGCGCAUGCCGU